CUUUUGCGUACCGUAUGUUUCCUCGGCGGGCUUGCCUGCCGGUUGGACAUUAUCAAACCUUUUUGUAGUUGCAAUCAGCGUCAGAAAACAAACAAUAAUUACAACUUUCAACAACGGAUCUCUUGGUUCUGGCAUCGAUGAAGAACGCAGCGAAAUGCGAAAAGUAGUGUGAAUUGCAGAAUUCAGUGAAUCAUCGAAUCUUUGAACGCACAUUGCGCCCCUUGGUAUUCCAUGGGGCAUGCCUGUUCGAGCGUCAUUUUGUACCCUCAAGCACUGCUUGGUGUUGGGCGUUUGUCCUGCAAAGGACUCGCCUGAAAGCGAUUGGCGGCCAACGUACUGGUGGUAGAGCGCAGCACAAUUUGCGUCUCUCCCCUCUGCGUCGGCGUCCAUGAAGCCUUUUUUCAACGUUUGACCUCGGAUCAGGUAGGGAUACCCGCUGAACUUAAGCAUAUCAAUAAGCCGGAGGA
This 467-nucleotide ribosomal RNA is filed under the name Leptosphaeria sp. AMAAS20. Its description in RNAcentral is "eukaryotic LSU rRNA". The stretch from base 103 to 256 matches the Rfam family "5.8S ribosomal RNA". Lineage: Eukaryota; Fungi; Ascomycota; Dothideomycetes; Pleosporales; Leptosphaeriaceae. The record is from RNAcentral.